Gopherus evgoodei (Goodes thornscrub tortoise) is the source of this 110-nucleotide long non-coding RNA. RefSeq lists it as uncharacterized. The record is from RefSeq and is a predicted model, not a curated record. Lineage: Eukaryota; Metazoa; Chordata; Testudines; Testudinidae. The transcript is spliced from 3 exons.
GAUUUAAAGUGCCUUGCAGUGUGGAUGGGUAUAGAGUUAAAUCGAUUUAAUGCUGUUUAAAUCAAUUUAACUGUGUAAUGUGGACCAGGCCUGGGAGGGCUUUAUUCCAG